CAAGUUAGUAGCAAAAUUGAGUGUGUCACAAACAUGAUAAAAUACACCAUAUUGCAAAAUUUUGUGUCUGUUCAAGACAAGAAUUCUUCAGUGUAUUAUUACUUGGUUGCAUGCCAUGUUUGGUUUUCAUUUAAUAUCAGUGCAUAUGUAUAUCAUAUGAAGGGAUAAAGAAACACACUUAAAACAGCUAACAUGAAAUGUAUGCCGAUGAAAUAAGGUUUUGCACAGCCAAAUAAAUGUAUGGUAAAAGAAAAAGUAUAUCAAUGUGUGCUGAAGGAAGCACUUUUGUAUCUGGCCAGUUACGAAGGAAAACUAUUUAAAUAAAACCAUAUUUCAUAAAGUUGAAAAGAGA
This 352-nucleotide long non-coding RNA is filed under the name Mytilus galloprovincialis (Mediterranean mussel). The record is from RNAcentral. Lineage: Eukaryota; Metazoa; Mollusca; Bivalvia; Mytilida; Mytilidae.